GACGAACGCUGGCGGCGUGCUUAACACAUGCAAGUCGAGCGGUAAGGCUCCUUCGGGAGUACACGAGCGGCGAACGGGUGAGUAACACGUGAGUAAUCUGCCCUUCACUUCGGGAUAACCACCGGAAACGGUGGCUAAUACCGAAUACGACCAGUCUUCGCAUGAGGUGCUGGUGGAAAGUCUUUUCGGUGAAGGAUGUGCUCGCGGCCUAUCAGCUUGUUGGUGUGGUAAUGGCCUACCAAGGCUUCGACGGGUAGCCGGCCUGAGAGGGUGACCGGCCACACUGGGACUGAGACACGGCCCAGACUCCUACGGGAGGCAGCAGUGGGGAAUAUUGGACAAUGGGCGAAAGCCUGAUCCAGCAACGCCGCGUGAGGGAUGACGGCCUUCGGGUUGUAAACCUCUUUCAGUACCGACGAAGCGCCCUGUCGGGUGGUGACGGUAGGUACAGAAGAAGGACCGGCCAACUACGUG
This 474-nucleotide ribosomal RNA is filed under the name uncultured bacterium. Its description in RNAcentral is "partial 16S ribosomal RNA". It matches the Rfam family "Bacterial small subunit ribosomal RNA", at positions 28 to 507 of the family's 1533-position model. The record is from RNAcentral.